This 277-nucleotide ribosomal RNA is filed under the name uncultured prokaryote. RNAcentral describes it as "partial 16S ribosomal RNA". It matches the Rfam family "Bacterial small subunit ribosomal RNA", at positions 524 to 800 of the family's 1533-position model. The record is from RNAcentral.
UACGUAUGGGGCGAGCGUUGUUCGGAAUUAUUGGGUGUAAAGGGCGUCUAGGCGGGAGAUUAAGUUAGAUGUGAAAGGCGUGGGCUUAACCCACGAAUUGCAUCUAAAACUGGUUUUCUUGAGUUCGGGAGAGGAGAGCGGAAUUCUUGGUGUAGCGGUGAAAUGCGUAGAUAUCAGGAGGAACACCGAUGGCGAAGGCAGGUCUCUGGGCCACUACUGACGCUGAGAAGCGAAAGCAUGGGGAGCGAACAGGAUUAGAUACCCCCGUAGUCCCUGA